UAUAUCAACUGGCUACUGUGCCAGCUGGUGGAUAGCUCGGCUCGAGAGCCGAUGACGGACGUGCCAAGCUGCGAUAAGCCUCAGGGACCCGCAUGGAGGGAAAGAACUGAGGAUCUCCGAAUGGGAAUCCCCACAGCAAUUGCCUAGCGCAAUGGGGAACGUUCCGAAUUGAAACAUCUUAGUAGGAACAGGAAAAGAAAGCAAUCCGCGAUGUCGUUAGUAACGGCGAGUGAACGCGAUACAGUCCAAACCGAAGCCUUCGGGCAAUGUGGUGUACGGACUACCCAUAACGGACCUGGAAUUCACACGAAGUCUCCUGGAACGGAGCGUGAUACAGGGUGAAAACCCCGUAGUGUGAAGGAAAGAUCCCGGGGUUGUUCCAGAAUAGCGGGGGUUGGAUAUCCCUCGUGAAUUACGCAGGCAUCAACUGCGAAGACUAAACACUCCUCGAGACCGAUAGCGAACAAGUAGCGUGAGCGAACGCUGAAAAGCACCCCGAAAAGGGCGGUGCAAUAGGGCUUGAAAUCAGUUGGCGAUAGAGCGAUAUAGCAUACAAGGUCGUCUGACGAAUGACCUAGAAGCGAUUCUACAGUAAGACUCAGACGAAGCCGAUGUUAUAUCGUACGUUUUGAAAAACGAACCAUGGAGUGCAUCUGACUGGCGAGUCUAAGGGGAGAACCCCCGGAGGCAUAGGGAAACCGAUACGGCCGCAGUCUUUGACCAGGGCCACCGUCUUCAAGGGCGGGGAGCCAACCGGAUGCGACCCGAAACCAAGUGAUCUACGCCGGAGCAGGGCGAAGCGUGGCGAAAGCUGCGUGGAGGCCCGUUAGAGUUGGUGUCCUACAAUACCCUCUCGUGACUCUGGUGUAGGGGUGAAAGGCCCAUCGAACUUGGCAACAGCUGGUUCCAACCGAAACAUGUCGAAGCAUGACCUCUGAUGAGAUAGUCCGUGAGGUAGAGCGACCGAUUGGGAAUCCGGCCUCCGAGAGGAGUUCGCUUCCCUGUCAAACUCCAAACUUACGGACAUCGUAGACUCAGGGAGUCCGGUGUGCGGGGUAAGCUUGUGCACCGUGAGGGAGACAACCCAGAGCCAGGUUAAGGACCCAAAGUGUGGAUUAAGUGUGAUCGAAGAUUGUCUCGAGCCCUAAACAGCCGGGAGGUGAGCUUAGAAGCAGCUACCCUCUAAGAAUAGCGUAACAGCUUACCGGCCGAGGUUCGAGGCGUCGAAAAUGAUCGGGACUCAAAUCCACCUCCGAGACCUGGCGGCGUGCUAUUUAGCACGAUUCCGUAGGUUGGCAUACUGCAUGGACGGAAGUACGGGAGAGAUCUCGUAUGGACCGUGCAGCAACGAAAAUCAUGGUCUCAGUAGCAGCGAGAGUCGGGUGUGAACCCCGACGACCUUACGCGCAAGGGUUCCUCGGCACUGUCAAUCAGCCGAGGGUUAGUCGAUCCUAAGUCUAUCCGUAAUUCGAAAUAGAUGAAAGGGAAACUGGUUAAUAUUCCAGUACCUUCUUGCAAUAAACGUCGACGCUUUAGGAAACACCGAGCGGGGCCUUCGCCCCGUCGAAUCACCGAACUUCGUGGAAGCCGUAAUGGCACGAAGCGAAAGAAUGGUGAGAUAGGGAAACUCGGCGGUACCUAGAGCCCGUGAAAAGACAAGCAAGAAGCUCGUACCGAGAUCCGACACAGGUGCGCUGGCAGAGUAAGCCAAGGUCUGUCGGGAUCAACCGACGUUAGGGAAUUCGGCAAGUUAGUCCCGUAAGUUCGCGAUAAGGGAUACCUGCUCUUGAUAGAGCAGGUCGCAGUGACUCGGACGCUCCGACUGUCUAGUAACAACAUAGGUGACCGCAAAUCCGCAAGGACUCGUACGGUCACUGAAUCCUGCCCAGUGCGGGUAUCUGAACACCCAUUACAAUGGGACGAAGGACCCGUCAACGGCGGGGGUAACUAUGACCCUCUUAAGGUAGCGUAGUACCUUGCCGCUUCAGUAGCGGCUUGCAUGAAUGGAUCAACGAGAGCGUCACUGUCCCAACGUUGGGCCCGGUGAACAGUACGUUCCAGUGCGGAGUCUGGAGACCCCCAAGGGGAAGCGAAGACCCUAUAGAGCUUUACUGCAGGCUGUCGCUGAGACGUGGUCGCUAAUGUGCAGCAUAGGUAGGAGCCGUUACACAGGUACCCGCGCCAGCGGGCCACCGAGGCAGCAUUGAAAUACUACCCGUUAGUGACUGCGACUCUCACUCCUGGCGGAGGACACCGGUAGCCGGGCAGUUUGACUGGGGCGGUACGCGCUCGAAAAGAUAUCGAGCGCGCCCAAAGAUUUCCUCACGCGAGUCGGGAACUCGUGGAAGAGCGCAAGAGCAAACGGAAGUCUGACAGUGACAUUCCCAACGAGUGUCGCUGACGCGAAAGCGUGGUCUAGCGAACCUACGAGGUUCAUUCAUGGGACCCGUAGAUGACAGAAAAGCUACCUUAGGGAUAACAGAGUCGUCACCCGCAAGAGCACAUAUCGACCGGGUGGCUUGCUACCUCGAUGUCGGUUCCCUCCAUCCUGCCUGUGCAGAAGCAGGCAAGGGUGAGGUUGUUCGCCUAUUAAAGGAGGUCGUGAGCUGGGUUUAGACCGUCGUGAGACAGGUCGGCUGCUAUCUAUUGGGGGUGCUAAGGAACUUGACGUGAACGUUCGUAUAGUACGAGAGGAACUACGAAUGGGUGCCACUGGUGUACCGGUUGUCCGAGAGGGCAGUUGCCGGGCAGCUACGCACCGCAGGGUAAGAGCUGAAAGCAUCUAAGCUCGAAACCUACACGGAAAAGAAGUUCCACUGAGGUCACUCGUAGAAGACGAGUUCGAUAGACUCGGGGUGUACGUGUCGAGGCAACGAGACAUUAAGCCCGCGAGCACUAACAGACCAAGCCACAUUC
RNAcentral lists this ribosomal RNA (2916 nucleotides) under Haloferax mediterranei ATCC 33500. Its description in RNAcentral is "bacterial LSU rRNA". It matches the Rfam family "Archaeal large subunit ribosomal RNA". Lineage: Archaea; Methanobacteriati; Methanobacteriota; Halobacteria; Halobacteriales; Haloferacaceae. The record is from RNAcentral.